UCUUCAUUUUCCACACUUUCUCACCGGUCAGAGUGAAGAGAGAGUGUGCAAAAAGAGGAGA
Molecule: microRNA precursor, 61 nt
Filed under: Pristionchus pacificus
Lineage: Eukaryota; Metazoa; Nematoda; Chromadorea; Rhabditida; Neodiplogasteridae
Description: mir-8364 microRNA precursor family
Rfam family: mir-8364 microRNA precursor family
Source: Rfam by way of RNAcentral